CCGGAUUCCAUUUUUAAAACUACAAUAAUUUGUGUAGAGAAAGGGGUCCAGUAUUUUCAUUGAACGGUAAGCGAUAAUAUUGAAUCUGUAACAUCUUGGUUUUUUUGGUACCAGGGAUCAAACUCGGGACCUUGUGCUUGCAAGGCAGGCGCUGGAACCACUGAGCUAAAUCCCCGGCCCACAUCUGUAACAUCUUACCAUAAUCCUUUCCCUCUUUCUAAGCCCUAUGCCUCUUUUUCUUACCUGUAAAGCAUAAAAUGUGACUAUAUUUUACAAAUAGGUACCUAAGCCAGUUUUCACUUUAAAUAACAAAACAGCCCAAAUUUCUUGUUCUCCAAACUAAGCUCUCUUCUCGUGACUCAUAAAGCCAGAGGCUGAAGAUGUAGCUCAGUGGUGAGCAUUUGCCUGACAUGCGCAAGGCCCCAGCAUUUAUCCCCAGCACAGGAAAAAAUGAGUCCAUAUUGAAUACAGUGGCUCUGUAAACAUACCUUCUUUUAUUGCUAUUAUUUAAAUAUGGUAUAAGUUUUCAAUAUUGAACAGUAUCAAAAAAAGAUAGGCACCAUGAGAAAGUAUGUUCUUAGACUUGCUAGAGGUGUAUGUAAGUGCAUUUGUAUGACCUACUAAACAAAACUACCUGACUCUUGUCCAGGGAUGCAGUUUCCAUUUUCAUUUUUUGGUCUGUAUAACCCAAAUUCUACAUGGUCUAUAUUACUGUUGUGUCUGAGUCUCAGAAAGUACUAAUUCUUCACACCAGUGUCUCCUUGUACAAACUUUGGUGUCACCCAUAGGGAUGCAGCCCCCUGCACAAACUGUGUGGUCCUUCAGGUUCUAGGACAAAUCUGCAAUUUUAUAGAUGACUUCUGUGGACCAGGAUGCAGAUUUUGAGAGCUGUGUGUACAUAUUAUAAUCAUGUUUGUAUGUUUCCUCAGCUAUCAUUUAAAUGCUUUUGUUUGAAUGAGUUUCUUUUCAAGGUGGGAUAGGGAUGUAUAUAUAAUUGAGGGAAAAGUUACAUGUACUUUAAAGUUCUUAUUAGGUUCCUGUAUGAGAGAAUCAAAUUUUUUUCACAUACUUAUUCUUUGUGGGAAAAUGCACCUGGGAAGCAUAGUUUAAAUACUGUAUAUAAGAUAAUGAACAUUAGAAGUGCCC
Molecule: long non-coding RNA, 1146 nt
Filed under: Heterocephalus glaber (naked mole-rat)
Lineage: Eukaryota; Metazoa; Chordata; Mammalia; Rodentia; Bathyergidae
Description: lncRNA (ENSHGLG00100050431.1)
Source: RNAcentral